Molecule: unclassified non-coding RNA, 226 nt
Filed under: Sageretia spiciflora
Lineage: Eukaryota; Viridiplantae; Streptophyta; Magnoliopsida; Rosales; Rhamnaceae
Description: partial contains external transcribed spacer and 18S ribosomal RNA
Source: RNAcentral
AUGGCUGUCACCACACAACAAGUUGUUGGCGGCCGGGGACGCGUGUGCUACUUUGAUGUCCUCCUUGCACCCAUGGAGGGCACGAGGAGGAAAGGGGCUCCGUUGGCAACUAAUUCCGUCACAUUAGGUAUGCAAUACAAGAACCGAAGAGGCUGAAAGGACACAUGGUCCUCAUAGCAAAACACUGAGAGGUAGCCGAGCACAAGCAGUUCGAUGCCCAAAGCAC